UCUGUCCCGAUAAAAUCCCCUCCAUUUAUCGAAAAAGAAAAAAAAUAAAAUAAAAAAAAACAAGGAAAACCACGCCCUUUCACUCCGCAGAAUUUCCAUGGCAUUUUGAGUAGCGAAUUCCACAAUCCACAUUAUUCUUAAAUCAGCUUUUUCACUUUUCCUCCGCCGCCUCACUUCGCAAGAGAUGAAGGAUUGAAGUAUGACCCAACUAACAAUGUUUCUGAUUCAAAUUUCUCAAACCAUGGAAUGUGAUCAGUGUCCCCCUUGCAUACUAAAAAAGAUGCAAUCUACGAUAAAUUCGAUCAGUUGGGACAAUAGAUGACCCGAUUUUGUUAAAGCGGAUUGAGCGAGUAAGCAACCAUCAACCAUGUAUGUGAAGCUGUGCCUGGAGAGAUCUUCUGAAAGAGAUCUUCUGAAAGAGGGUAAAUUGAAAAGGAGAGAGCAUGUUUAAAGACAGGGAAUCCGAUGAAUGAGGUGAGAGUAGUGUUUGCUAAAGAACAAGGACUUCAAUUUCAUUAUUCUCCUGAAUUUUCUCGAACCUUGAAAUGGGAUGAGAACCAAAACCAAAUAAUAAUAUUAAUUAAUAUUGUCUAUUUCUGCAUGAAACGCCGUUGAGAUCAAAUACCUAGGAAUGCUCGACAAUCCCAUAACUUGCUGCUCUGCAGACAGUCGCCUCCUCCUAUUGGUAGAACUCCAAUUAGGAAAGAGGAGACCUUUGGGGAGCUCCUUUUCUUCUGCUGCUCAAAGAGAUCACAAUACCAGGGAUUCCAUAUCCACCACUUUUGUUC
This is a non-coding RNA of Erythranthe guttata (spotted monkey flower), 788 nucleotides long. The record is from RefSeq and is a predicted model, not a curated record. NCBI's taxonomy places the organism in Eukaryota, Viridiplantae, Streptophyta, Magnoliopsida, Lamiales, Phrymaceae.